This 347-nucleotide unclassified non-coding RNA is filed under the name uncultured Russula. Its description in RNAcentral is "partial contains 5.8S ribosomal RNA, internal transcribed spacer 2, and large subunit ribosomal RNA". The record is from RNAcentral. Lineage: Eukaryota; Fungi; Basidiomycota; Agaricomycetes; Russulales; Russulaceae.
AACGCACCUUGCGCCCCUUGGCAUUCCGAGGGGCACACCCGUUUGAGUGUCGUGAACAUCCUCAACCUGCUUGGUUUUACCGAACCAAGUAGGCUUGGGAAUUUGGAGGUUUUCUGCUGGCCUCCUCUGAAGCCAGCUCCUCUUAAAUCUAUUAGUGGGAUCCGCUUUGCUAGAUCCUCGACGUUGAUAAGAUGUUUCUACGUCUUGGGUUUUGCUCGGGAAAGGACCUGCUUCUAACCGUCCCCAUCAGGGACAUUGUUCGAGCCGAUCGCCCUUCACGGGGUGGGAAGCUUUUCGACCCAUGAAACCUUGACCUCAAAUCGGGUGAGACCACCCGCUGAACUUAA